GAGAGAGAGAGAGAUCUGUACACUCAGAGGGGUCCCCACAGUCCUCCCCACACCAGGGCUGCCUUCCAACUCAAACAAGCCUUGGGGUCUGGAGGCAUUUACCUAGUGCCUCUGGAAGAGUCUAAACAUCUUUGGGAUACUCAGGAGAAAGGGAAUUUAGCACCCCACGCCCAAGUUUGCUCUUCUCCUCCCCCACACCUCACACCUCGCUAAGUCCGGACUUUGGCUAGAAUUCCUAGGUAGCCUUUGGAGUUUAGGGGUGAUCAAGAGAUGUAAGUGGUCCAGGAAGGCUCUGAGCCCAACCUGGCCGCAGGAUGUGCACACCCUGGACAGCUAUGGACCACAGCUCAGACUGUUGGACUCUGAGAGGAGCCACUUCAGGGUGGGACUGAUCAGAUGUCAGAGGUCCUGGCACCUGGGGGAGGGGAAGCGAGGAUAGGAUUAUCAUUCCACCGUUACCUAAUACUGCUGUGUCCCUUGGUUGAGAGCCUAUGUACGGCUUGUUAUGUAUUUUAGGGCACGAAUUGAGAAGAGCAUGUGGACAGUCCUGAUUCGUGUAUUGUCAUUAAUGCAUAGAGCCGAAGGAGCCUGGUAAUUACAUGUGCAAGUAUCCAGAGUGUAGCGCGCUCCCAAGACACCUUUGUGCGGUGUAUGUUGAGGUUGUGCAAUAAUGCAGCAGAGGUGCAGAGAGGCGGUGUGAACUGCAGGGUGUGAAGUGUUGUUCCCUCUCCUUCAGACUCUUAAACAUUCUACACCCCCAACCCCCAGGGAUACACAUUAAACCACCCUAGACACACAAUCCUCCCCUCCCCCCACACCGCAGCCAGCCUUCUCUGAAAACUGAUACCCUGAGGCCCUUUUCCCUCACCAGCCACAAUUAGGGGAAGUAUGAGGGAAAAUGCGGACUGGAUCCAGGCACAGAGGCAGUGCUCUGUCGUUUUUCCUUACUUAGUAGGCCGCUGUUCCAGCUCCAGGCCUUAUAUUUUAUCUGACUUUGCUACUCCAGGAAACAGCUUUAGGCUCCUGCGAGUCCAGGCCAAUUCCACUUCUCACUGCGAAGUCCAUUUUGUAUUUUCUGUUUCACCCUCGUCAAGUCUCAGCCGUGGCUGUUGUUCUCAAUCCAGCUCAGAAACUGGCUCAAACCGCCCUGAACUGGAUUUGGUGGCUGUUGAGACACAGUUUCUGCCUCUUUGUUAGGGCGGAUCCGGCCUCAUUUGCUCGUCAGUUUCCCUCCCUCCUGUUUUCCCAGAGUCACCACCAGCAAUUCCCCUCCCCCUGCCUCUCCAGUUUGGCAUUUUUUUACCCUUCCCUGGGCCAAGGCCCCAUGAAGUAGAUUAAAUUCUUUAAUAAAAUAGUGGAUUUAGGUUGUAAACCUUCAGCUUUUGCGACAUUAACUGUUUUCUUUUUAUUUUUUUCAAAUUUGUUAUCUAACCAAUUGACAUGGUGCCCUUAAAAUCUUGGCUCUCGUUCUAACCUAGAAAUAUCUUAAAAUUUCACUCUAGAUGGAAAGAACUUUAAAUUUCACAUAAAAGACUGAAAGGUGUUGGUGUAUUACAUUGUUAAUUUGUUUUGUAACUAUGUAAAUAAAAAUAAUUUAUUCAUUUCUUUGUUGAGAAAGGACAAAACAUAAUAUAUAUAGAAUUUUUUAACAGUUACUUGUACUGGCUGUUGCAACCUCACGAUUCCCAGAGAAAAAACUGAAGACUUGAGAUUGUUUUGGUUUUUGAACAUGUAAUUUUAACCCUGGAUCAGAUUCUGUGAAUUGUUUAGUGGGGAAGGCUGUUCGGAGAAUGCGCGGGAACCAUUUCUAACCUAAUGCAGGUGGAGGCAAAACUCAGAAUGUGACGGAAGGAGGAGAGGACAGGGCUGGGCUUUUAUAAGUUUUCUUUGUAUGAAAUGUAAGCAUUUCUUAUGUUUUGGAAUGAGAGAAGGGGCUGAUUAUGCAAUACUGUGGAGGUAAUAGAUGUACACUCUAAAAUGGCUAAUUUUCUGUUAUUGUGGAUUUUACCUCAGUCUUAAAAUUUAAGCGUUUUCUGGACAAUAAUUUUUCUUUUUCUUCUUGUGGUUUUAAAAUAUCAGAAGAGAGAUAAUAAGCAACCAUAUUCGGGGUGUGGCUGUAUUAGGUGCUUGACGACUCUCUGGUCUCCCUCUGGUGGCCAAAGUGAGCAGUGUGUCACGAUGUCGCAAGGCCUUUUGAGCCUGUCUCAAUUAUAUGUCGAAGCACAAACUCUGGGCUGCUUUACUCAGAAUCGUCCUCAAUGCCUUGUUUCGUGUUCAUUUUGUCUUACUUACGUGGUUGGUACAGGGCUCUUUUACUGAACAAGGAUCACAGAUGUUUUGCUUCUGCAGUGUUACAAAGGAUUAAUUAUAACUGAGCAACUUAAAAUUCAGCCCUACAUCUCAAAACAGAAUCAAAACGUCAUUUUUCCUAGGCUAAAAACCCGAGUUAAAUUGCUCAUUUAAGUGUUUAGUUUCAGUAGAUCAUAAAGCCCUGGAAAAAAGCCAAUGAUAACAGUAGAUCUGGAAAAGCUAUUUUUAAUAUGCACUAGAAGACGGCUGGCUUUGUCUAGUGAUUCACUACCCCGAGAAAGAAAAAAAUGUACAUAAAAAAGGGAAUUUUGGCUUCUCCGUGAAGAAGUACCGUGACAAAGCUCAAGAGAACACAAUCUUUGCUUUAUUUUGUUUGGCUUAAAAUAAAAAUUUUAAGAAGUAUCACUUAAAUGUCUGUAGUUGCAAAAGUGCAACAUGCCA
Long non-coding RNA from Bubalus bubalis (water buffalo), 2751 nucleotides. RefSeq lists it as uncharacterized. Lineage: Eukaryota; Metazoa; Chordata; Mammalia; Artiodactyla; Bovidae. The record is from RefSeq and is a predicted model, not a curated record. The transcript has 2 exons.